AGAGUUUGAUCAUGGCUCAGGACGAACGCUGGCGGCGUGCUUAACACAUGCAAGUCGAACGGAAAGGCCCUUCGGGGUACUCGAGUGGCGAACGGGUGAGUAACACGUGGGUGAUCUGCCCUGCACUUUGGGAUAAGCCUGGGAAACUGGGUCUAAUACCGAAUAUGACCAUGCGCCUCCUGGUGUGUGGUGGAAAGCUUUUGCGGUGUGGGAUGGGCCCGCGGCCUAUCAGCUUGUUGGUGGGGUAAUGGCCUACCAAGGCGACGACGGGUAGCCGGCCUGAGAGGGUGACCGGCCACACUGGGACUGAGAUACGGCCCAGACUCCUACGGGAGGCAGCAGUGGGGAAUAUUGCACAAUGGGCGCAAGCCUGAUGCAGCGACGCCGCGUGAGGGAUGACGGCCUUCGGGUUGUAAACCUCUUUCAGCACAGACGAAGCGCAAGUGACGGUAUGUGCAGAAGAAGGACCGGCCAACUACGUGCCAGCAGCCGCGGUAAUACGUAGGGUCCGAGCGUUGUCCGGAAUUACUGGGCGUAAAGAGCUCGUAGGUGGUUUGUCGCGUUGUUCGUGAAAACUCACAGCUUAACUGUGGGCGUGCGGGCGAUACGGGCAGACUUGAGUACUGCAGGGGAGACUGGAAUUCCUGGUGUAGCGGUGGAAUGCGCAGAUAUCAGGAGGAACACCGGUGGCGAAGGCGGCUCACUGGCUCGAUACUGACGCUGAGGUGCGAAAGCGUGGGGAGCAAACAGGAUUAGAUACCCCGGUAGUCC
Molecule: ribosomal RNA, 771 nt
Filed under: uncultured bacterium
Lineage: Bacteria
Description: bacterial SSU rRNA
Rfam family: Bacterial small subunit ribosomal RNA
Source: RNAcentral